RNAcentral lists this ribosomal RNA (253 nucleotides) under uncultured bacterium. RNAcentral's name for it is "partial 16S ribosomal RNA". It matches the Rfam family "Bacterial small subunit ribosomal RNA", at positions 524 to 776 of the family's 1533-position model. The record is from RNAcentral.
UACGAAGGGGGCUAGCGUUGUUCGGAAUUACUGGGCGUAAAGCGCACGUAGGCGGACAUUUAAGUCAGGGGUGAAAUCCCGGGGCUCAACCCCGGAACUGCCUUUGAUACUGGGUGUCUUGAGUCCGGAAGAGGUGAGUGGAAUUGCGAGUGUAGAGGUGAAAUUCGUAGAUAUUCGCAGGAACACCAGUGGCGAAGGCGGCUCACUGGUCCGGUACUGACGCUGAGGUGCGAAAGCGUGGGGAGCAAACAGG